CUUGAGGUGAAGAAAUCAUGAGAAGAUGAUGGAUCUGUUGAGAUCCCCGGUGAUUCAUGGUGGUGCUGUUAAAUCAAAUGUUGAUUCAACUCAGCAGAAAUGGAGGGGAAACCCCUUGUUCUGAAUGUAGUGAGGAAAGCAGAACAAUUGCUUGUGAAUGUGGUGUUAGAGUAAUUCACUAUCUCUGGUGAAACUAACUUUCUCAAGUAGUAAGAAGGAAGAAUGAUUUUACAACUUUAUAGGAUAAACUGAAUUGUGCACAUCAAGUUUCAAUGUCCUGUUAUUUGUAAACUUUUUGCUGCUGAAGAAAGCUCUGUUCAGGAUUGGAUAUGACAAAGGCAUACAUGCUUGAUACACAAGAGGCAGUGGAGUCAAAAUUCAAAAUAUGGGAAAAUACUGCUCCUUUUGGUUGGGAUGCGCGCGACAUGGGAUUUUGAUGGCCAUAUGAUAUUACUUGCUUUCUCAGAAUCAGUAGAAUUGGGCUCUAUGCACUUUGUGUCGAGGCUUCUGACAUUGGGCACCUAAAGAAGAAAUGCUCUUGUCUGGUCUUAAAGAAAGCAACUGAGGGCGAACAAAGAUAACCUAUCCACUCUCAUGGUAUGCUUAGUUACAAAAUAUGUUCAUGAUAUUUAGGACAUAGGAUAAGUGAGAAUGAGCUCAACUUGUGAAGUUUUUAUCUUUAUCUAUUCCCUUAGAAUUUUUUUGAUACUUCAAAAAUUUGUAUUCUUUUUUGAUAUGAUA
Molecule: long non-coding RNA, 741 nt
Organism: Papaver somniferum (opium poppy)
Lineage: Eukaryota; Viridiplantae; Streptophyta; Magnoliopsida; Ranunculales; Papaveraceae
Exons: 5
Source: RefSeq, a predicted model, not a curated record